GAUGGACGCUGGCGGCGUGCCUAAUACAUGCAAGUCGAGCGAACAGACGAGGAGCUUGCUCCUCUGACGUUAGCGGCGGACGGGUGAGUAACACGUGGAUAACCUACCUAUAAGACUGGGAUAACUUCGGGAAACCGGAGCUAAUACCGGAUAAUAUAUUGAACCGCAUGGUUCAAUAGUGAAAGACGGUUUUGCUGUCACUUAUAGAUGGAUCCGCGCCGCAUUAGCUAGUUGGUAAGGUAACGGCUUACCAAGGCAACGAUGCGUAGCCGACCUGAGAGGGUGAUCGGCCACACUGGAACUGAGACACGGUCCAGACUCCUUCGGGAGGCAGCAGUAGGGAAUCUUCCGCAAUGGGCGAAAGCCUGACGGAGCAACGCCGCGUGAGUGAUGAAGGUCUUCGGAUCGUAAAACUCUGUUAUUAGGGAAGAACAAAUGUGUAAGUAACUAUGCACGUCUUGACGGUACCUAAUCAGAAAGCCACGGCUAACUACGUG
This 497-nucleotide ribosomal RNA is filed under the name uncultured bacterium. Its description in RNAcentral is "partial 16S ribosomal RNA". It matches the Rfam family "Bacterial small subunit ribosomal RNA", at positions 28 to 507 of the family's 1533-position model. The record is from RNAcentral.